Molecule: long non-coding RNA, 572 nt
Organism: Cyprinus carpio carpio
Lineage: Eukaryota; Metazoa; Chordata; Actinopteri; Cypriniformes; Cyprinidae
Source: Ensembl
AGUAGGGCCACUUGAAGACAUUUGCUAUUUCUGGGUUUCUAUUAUUAGAUACAAAACAAUAGUGGACAGUAAGAAGAAGACUGGGAGUGGUGCCAGCAGCUGGGUCUUUUUCUCAUCAAUGGAGGACCUCCUGGCUGAUGAUCCUAGUGUGGAACCAGUCUUGAUCGUGUCAUCUUUUGCUGGAUCUUCAUCAACUUCAGGACCAUCAACUUCAGGACCAUCAACUUCAGGACCAUCAACUUCAGGACCUAAGCCAUCAGCAGAACAUGGCAAAAAGAGAAAGCACAAGUCUGAAGCACCUGAGUGGUUUGAGCAGUAUGUCACUGAGCAGAGGAGGCAGAUGUCAGAGCUCAUGGCCCUGCAAAAGCAAGCAGUGGAAGUGUAUUUUCAGGGUGUCCUGCUUGACAGUCAUUGUCAUCGUUUCCAUCCACCUCUUCACAAUCCUCCAUUUGGUGGCCUUCCUCCCUCAAGAGGAAAUUGUGCAGAACACAUGCAGCUGUGAUAACUACUGGUACUUUUUCAAGGUCUUCCAUGGGCAAGUACUUCAGACGUCUCCAUUUCCCCUUUAGAAG